UACGACGUUGAUAGGUCGGGUGUGUAAGCGCAGCGAUGCGUUGAGCUAACCGAUACUAAUGAACCGUGAGGCUUAACCUU
Molecule: ribosomal RNA, 80 nt
Filed under: Enterobacter kobei
Lineage: Bacteria; Pseudomonadati; Pseudomonadota; Gammaproteobacteria; Enterobacterales; Enterobacteriaceae
Also listed under: 1 other name
Description: partial 23S ribosomal RNA
Rfam family: Bacterial large subunit ribosomal RNA
Source: RNAcentral